RNAcentral lists this ribosomal RNA (397 nucleotides) under uncultured bacterium. RNAcentral describes it as "partial 16S ribosomal RNA". It matches the Rfam family "Bacterial small subunit ribosomal RNA", at positions 523 to 918 of the family's 1533-position model. The record is from RNAcentral.
AUACGUAGGGGGCGAGCGUUGUCCGGAAUGAUUGGGCGUAAAGGGCGCGUAGGCGGCGCGGUAAGUCUGGAGUGAAAGUCCUGCUUUCAAGGUGGGAAUUGCUUUGGAUACUGCCGCGCUUGAGUGCAGGAGAGGUUAUCGGAAUUCCCGGUGUAGCGGUGAAAUGCGUAGAGAUCGGGAGGAACACCAGUGGCGAAGGCGGGUAACUGGACUGCAACUGACGCUGAGGCGCGAAAGUGUGGGGAGCAAACAGGAUUAGAUACCCUGGUAGUCCACACUGUAGACGAUGAAUGCUAGGUGUAGGAGGUAUCGACCCCUUCUGUGCCGCAGUAAACACAGUAAGCAUUCCGCCUGGGGAGUACGGUCGCAAGAUUAAAACUCAAAGGAAUUGACGGGG